This 3558-nucleotide long non-coding RNA is filed under the name Brassica napus (rape). Its description in RNAcentral is "long non-coding RNA (BNAP_LNC024368)". The record is from RNAcentral. Lineage: Eukaryota; Viridiplantae; Streptophyta; Magnoliopsida; Brassicales; Brassicaceae.
CUAGUUUAAAAAAAAAAGACAAGCCAAUUCGAUCGAAAGAAACUCUCUUUCCCAAUGGAUCCGUCGGAUUAUUUAACCGGCAAUAAUCCUUCCGAUCUACAGAACCAGAAACGACAGCUUCAGAUCUACGGUCCUCGUCCUUCACCUCUCAGCGUCCACAAAGACUCUCACAAGAUCAAGAAACCUCCCAAGCACCCUGCUCCGCCUCCCCAGCAUCAUCACCGCGACCAAGCUCCGGUCUACGCUCCUCGAGAGCCGGUGGUUAUCUACGCCGUCUCCCCGAAGGUCGUGCACACCACAACCUCCGAUUUCAUGAACGUCGUCCAGCGACUCACCGGAAUCUCUGCCGGGGUCUUCCACGAAUCCGGAAACGGCGGAGAUGUAUCGCCGGCGGCGAGACUCGCCGCGACGGAGAAUGCUAGCCCGAGAGGAGGAAAGGAACCGACGGCGGCUAAAGAAGAGACGGUGGAAGUCGCCACGGCUAUGGAAGAAGCAGCUGAGUUCAGUGGCUACGCUCCGGGGAUACUCUCGCCGUCUCCGGCUAUGUUGCCGCCAGCUUCUGCUGGAAUGUUCUCACCGGGAUGGUUUUCUCCGUCGGGAUUAAUGAGCCCGUUUAUUCUUUAUAGUCCUAGUUAUGCUAGUUUGGUUGCUUCACCAACGUUUGCUGAUGUCUUUAGUAGUCAUAUUUGGGAUCCUUAGAGAAAAAUAUAUUUAGAUCUUUAUGUAAUUUUUAUUCAUUUUGACAUAUCCCAAGAUUGAGCCCAAAGGGUUAAGAUGAGUGGUUUGUGUCUUUGUAAUGUAAAACUCAUUUAACUUCAAAAAUUUCAGACAGAUAGAUUCCCUUUUUUUUUUUGAACAACCAGACAUAGAUUCCUAGACCUAAGAUACUAUAUUUAAGGAAGUAAUAGUUCUAAGUUUCUUGCUAUAUUAAGGAAGUAGUAAUAGUUAUAAGUUUCUUCAUGUGGCUGCAACAGUAGAGUUCCAUGUUCCUCCGAUCAAUGUGCCAACUCUCUCUCCUUUGAUGGCUUUGGCGAUGUUUCCAGGCUCAGACAGAUUGAAGACCACAACUACAAGAAUCACAAACCAAAUAAAUAUCAUUGACGUAUAAGUUUCUUCUGUUGUUUAAGGUUUGAGAGAGUGUUUGUGAAGAGCAAACCUGGGAUGUUGUUUUCUUGGCACAAAGUGAUAGCAGUCAUAUCCAUCACGGAGAGAUCCUUUGAGGUUACUUCUUGGUAAGUUAGUGACUCGUGGAGGCGAGCGUUUGGGUUUCUCUUGGGAUCAUCGUCGAAGACUCCAUCUACAUUUGUUGCUUUCAGUACUACUUCUGCGUUAACUGUGAACAAGUUUUUCCGCCAAAACCGCAAAAACGAGUUUUCCCGCCAAAACCAGAAAGAUUAUUUUUCCCGCAAACCGCAAAAAUCGAGUUUUCCAACCAAAACCACAAAAAAAAAUUACCGACCAAAAACCGCAAAAAGAAAAAUUUCCGUUAAAAAAACAAAAAACAACUUAACAAGUUUUCUCGUUAAAACUAUAAAUGAGUUUUCCUGUCGAAACGAUGUUUACUGCUAAAACCGCAAAAUGAGUUUUCCGGUUAAAAUUGCAAAAUAAUUUUUUUUCUCGAAAAAACGAGUUUUUCCGCCAAAAUCGUAAACGAGUUUUUGCGCUAAAACAAGAUUUCUAUAAAAUUGCAAAAUCUUGUUUAUAUAUUAAAGCUCACAUUAAUGAUAUUAAUAUUUUACAUGAUCUUCAUAGUAAAUAAGAUAAUACUUUGGGUACCCACGGGUAAACCUAUACUUUAUUGGGUUAUUUUCUUGGUUUGAAUUUCAACCUUCAUAUUUUUCGGUUUUUGCGGGUUGGGUAUAAACUGGGUUGGGUUAUUUGUGGGUUGGGCUGGGCUGAGUUAUUUUACCCCUAGGUUAACAUCCCUAGUAAAUUGUAGUCUGUUUAUCGCUACUAGUUUUGGGUCUUUCUUUGUUUCUUGUGUGUUGUUUGUUAGAACCUUUUGUCAAAAAGAAAACAUAUAAGCCCUACUCCUAAUAUAGUAAUAAUAUUCAUACAAAAAGGUUACAAUAACACAAGAAGCAGAGUUGAGUGAUUAACUAAUUGCUUGUGCUAAACUAUACGCAUAUUGUGGGCUUUAAAGGAAUGAAAAGCCCAUUUUCCAAAUGACUUCUAAGUUCAUCGAAAAUUGGGAUUUCCUGUUUCGAGGUCAACAAUAACCGGUUUUUAUUAUAAGAAGAAACAACAAAAAUCGACCAAUCACAAAGUUACAGGCUUGCAAAGAUAACCGAACCAAUCAUCGUAAGAAAUUGCCAGCGUAGGUUAAAGUAUGUUUUUUUGUUUGAGAAAGGGAUUAGGUUAAAGUAUGUUGUUAUACACUUAUACUUCAUCCACUUAAAAUAAGCUCGGUGUUACAAUGUUCAUGGACCUUAAUAAACAAAUUAAAUUUGUUUUGCUGUAUUCCAGCAUAUAAAUGAAUGUUUGAACUUAUGUUUUUCUGUCAACAUUUUGAACUUAUGUUUAUAUAAAAGUUAGCCUCAGACCUAUUAACAUGUGUUGUUUCUCUUCGUUUCACUAUAACUAUCAUAUCAUGUUUUAUUAUAUUUAUUUAUAUAUCAAAAUAUAUAGGGUUUGUUGAAUAUACAUAUUACAGCUAGAAAAUGUGUGACUGAUCUCUACCCUUAAUAUUUUGAUAUAUAAAUCAAUAUAAUAAAACAUGAUAUGAUAGUUAUAGUGAAACUAAGAGAAACAACACAUGUUAAUAGGUCUUAGGCUAACUUUUAUGCCGAAACAAAUCAUGUAGCACAGCCAAUAAAUUAAAUUAUAAUGAAUUAAUAUACGCAAAUUGUUUGGCAAAGAAGUUGAUCACGGUAAACAGAAAACAUUAUUAUAAAUGUUGCCGCUGAUAAUGAAUCAAUGAUUCCUAAGAUCCUUCCUAAAAAUAUUAAGUGGAAAGACAAGAAAAAAGAAUUCCUAAAUUGAGUAUGUGCUGUAAAGGUCUAGUUGGCUGCAAAAAGUCAAUAUUUUGAAAGUCAAACUAAUCGGUCUGAAAAAACAAAUGUUUUGGUCAAUAUACUCGUCGGUUGAACUUUCAUUUCAACUCCAAAACCAAACUAGUUUAAAAAAAAAAGACAAGCCAAUUCGAUCGAAAGAAACUCUCUUUCCCAAUGGAUCCGUCGGAUUAUUUAACCGGCAAUAAUCCUUCCGAUCUACAGAACCAGAAACGACAGCUUCAGAUCUACGGUCCUCGUCCUUCACCUCUCAGCGUCCACAAAGACUCUCACAAGAUCAAGAAACCUCCCAAGCACCCUGCUCCGCCUCCCCAGCAUCAUCACCGCGACCAAGCUCCGGUCUACGCUCCUCGAGAGCCGGUGGUUAUCUACGCCGUCUCCCCGAAGGUCGUGCACACCACAACCUCCGAUUUCAUGAACGUCGUCCAGCGACUAACCGGAAUCUCCGCCGGGGUCUUCCACGAAUCCGGAAACGGCGGAGAUGUAUCGCCGGCGGCGAGACUCGCCGCGACGGAGAAUGCUAGCCCGAGAGGAGGAAAGGAACCGA